CCUACAGGCGGCAGCAGUAGGGAAUCUUCCACAAUGGGCGAAAGCCUGAUGGAGCAACGCCGCGUGGGUGAAGAAGGUCUUCGGAUCGUAAAACCCUGUUGUUAGAGAAGAAAGUGCGUGAGAGUAACUGUUCACGUUUCGACGGUAUCUAACCAGAAAGCCACGGCUAACUACGUGCCAGCAGCCGCGGUAAUACGUAGGUGGCAAGCGUUAUCCGGCUUUAUUGGGCGUAAAGGGAACGCAGGCGGUCUUUGAAGUCUGAUGUUAAAGCCUUCGGCCUAACCGGAGUAGUGGUUUGGAAAGUGGGAGACUUGAGUGAAGAAGAGGGGAGUGGAACUCAAUUUGGAGCGGUGA
Molecule: ribosomal RNA, 354 nt
Filed under: uncultured bacterium
Lineage: Bacteria
Description: partial 16S ribosomal RNA
Rfam family: Bacterial small subunit ribosomal RNA
Source: RNAcentral